This 497-nucleotide ribosomal RNA is filed under the name uncultured bacterium. Its description in RNAcentral is "partial 16S ribosomal RNA". It matches the Rfam family "Bacterial small subunit ribosomal RNA", at positions 28 to 507 of the family's 1533-position model. The record is from RNAcentral.
GAUGAACGCUGGCGGCGUGCCUAAUACAUGUAAGUCGAGCGAACAGACGAGGAGCUUGCUCCUCUGACGUUAGCGGCGGACGGGCGAGUAACACGUGGAUAACCUACCUAUAAGACUGGGAUAACUUCGGGAAACCGGAGCUAAUACCGGAUAAUAUAUUGAACCGCAUGGUUCAAUAGUGAAAGACGGUUUUGCUGUCACUUAUAGCUGGAUCCGCGCCGCAUUAGCUAGUUGGUAAGGUAACGGCUUACCAAGGCAACGAUGCGUGGCCGACCUGAGAGGGUGAUCGGCCACACUGGAACUGAGACACGGUCCAGACUCCUACGGGAGGCAGCAGUAGGGAAUCUUCCGCAAUGGGCGAAAGCCUGACGGAGCAACGCCGCGUGAGUGAUGAAGGUCUUCGGAUCGUAAAACUCUGUUAUUAGGGAAGAACAAAUGUGUAAGUAACUAUGCACGUCUUGACGGUACCUAAUCAGAAAGCAACGGCUAACUACGUG